RNAcentral lists this ribosomal RNA (253 nucleotides) under uncultured bacterium. RNAcentral's name for it is "partial 16S ribosomal RNA". It matches the Rfam family "Bacterial small subunit ribosomal RNA", at positions 524 to 776 of the family's 1533-position model. The record is from RNAcentral.
UACGUAGGUGGCAAGCGUUGUCCGGAAUUAUUGGGCGUAAAGCGCGCGCAGGCGGUUUCUUAAGUCUGAUGUGAAAGCCCCCGGCUCAACUGGGGAGGGUCACGCGAUACUGAUCGACUCGAAGGCAGGAGAGGGUAGUGGAAUUCCCGGUGUAGUGGUGAAAUGCGUAGAUAUCGGGAGGAACACCAGUGGCGAAGGCGACUACCUGGCCUGUUCUUGACGCUGAGGCGCGAAAGCUAGGGGAGCAAACGGG